This 496-nucleotide ribosomal RNA is filed under the name uncultured bacterium. Its description in RNAcentral is "bacterial SSU rRNA". It matches the Rfam family "Bacterial small subunit ribosomal RNA", at positions 28 to 518 of the family's 1533-position model. The record is from RNAcentral.
GAUGAACGCUGGCGGCGUGCCUAACACAUGCAAGUCGAACGAAGCACAUACGACGGAACUCUUCGGAGGGAAGAUGUAUGUGACUGAGUGGCGGACGGGUGAGUAACGCGUGGGUAACCUGCCCUAUACAGGGGGACAACAGUUGGAAACGACUGCUAAUACCGCAUAAGCGCACAGUACCGCAUGGUACAGAGCGAAAAACUACCGGUGGUAUAGGAUGGACCCGCGUCUGAUUAGUUAGUUGGCGGUGUAACGGACCACCAAGACGACGAUCAGUAGCCGGCUUGAGAGAGUGAACGGCCACAUUGGGACUGAGACACGGCCCAAACUCCUACGGGAGGCAGCAGUGGGGAAUAUUGCACAAUGGGGGAAACCCUGAUGCAGCGACGCCGCGUGAGCGAAGAAGUAUUUCGGUAUGUAAAGCUCUAUCAGCAGGGAAGAAGAAUGACGGUACCUGACUAAGAAGCACCGGCUAAAAUACGUAGCCAGCAGCCGG